Molecule: ribosomal RNA, 867 nt
Filed under: uncultured archaeon
Lineage: Archaea
Description: bacterial SSU rRNA
Rfam family: Archaeal small subunit ribosomal RNA
Source: RNAcentral
CUCCGGUUGAUCCCGCCGGACCCGACUGCUAUCAGAGUGAGAUUAAGCCAUGCGAGUUAACGUAGCAAUACGUGGCGCACGGCUCAGUAACACGUAGUCAACAUGCCCAGAGGACGUGGAUAACCUCGGGAAACUGAGUCUAAACCGCGAUAAGUGAGGAUUUCUGGAAUGGUUCCUGACCAAAAUCUAUAUGGCCUCUGGAUUGGACUGCGGCCGAUCAGGCUGUUGGUGAGGUAAUGGCCCACCAAACCUGUAACCGGUACGGGCUCUGAGAGGAGGAGCCCGGAGAUGGGCACUGAGACAAGGGCCCAGGCCCUAUGGGGCGCAGCAGGCGCGAAACCUCUGCAAUAGGCGAAAGCCUGACAGGGUUACUCUGAGUGACUUUCGCUAAGAAAGUCUUUUGGCACCUCUAAAAAGGGUGCAGAAUAAGGGGUGGGCAAGUCUGGUGUCAGCCGCCGCGGUAAUACCAGCACCCCGAGUGGUCGGGACGAUUAUUGGGCCUAAAGCAUCCGUAGCCGGUUCUGCAAGUCCCCCGUUAAAUCCAGCUGCUCAACAGAUGGGCCGCGGAGGAUACUACAGAGCUAGGAGGCAGGAGAGGCAAGCGGUACUCAGUGGGUAGGGGUAAAAUCCGUUGAUCCAUUGAAGACCACCAGUGGCGAAGGCGGCUUGCCAGAACGCGCCCGACGGUGAGGGAUGAAAGCUGGGGGAGCAAACCGGAUUAGAUACCCGGGUAGUCCCAGCUGUAAACGAUGCAGACUCGGUGAUGGGCUAGCCUUGUGCCAGCCCAGUGCCGCAGGGAAGCCGUUAAGUCUGCCGCCUGGGGAGUACGGUCGCAAGACUGAAACUUAAAGGAAUUGGCGGGGAGCA